GACGAACGCUGGCGGCGUGCCUAACACAUGCAAGUCGAGCGAAUGAAGUUCCUUCGGGAAUGGAUUUAGCGGCGGACGGGUGAGUAACACGUGGGCAACCUGCCUCAUAGAGGGGAAUAGCCUUUCGAAAGGAAGAUUAAUACCGCAUAAGAUUGUAGCUUCGCAUGAAGUAGCAAUUAAAGGAGCAAUCCGCUAUGAGAUGGGCCCGCGGCGCAUUAGCUAGUUGGUGAGGUAACGGCUCACCAAGGCGACGAUGCGUAGCCGACCUGAGAGGGUGAUCGGCCACAUUGGGACUGAGACACGGCCCAGACUCCUACGGGAGGCAGCAGUGGGGAAUAUUGCACAAUGGGGGAAACCCUGAUGCAGCAACGCCGCGUGAGUGAUGACGGCCUUCGGGUUGUAAAGCUCUGUCUUCAGGGACGAUAAUGACGGUACCUGAGGAGGAGGCCACGGCUAACUACGUGCCAGCAGCCGCCGUAA
RNAcentral lists this ribosomal RNA (480 nucleotides) under uncultured bacterium. Its description in RNAcentral is "partial 16S ribosomal RNA". It matches the Rfam family "Bacterial small subunit ribosomal RNA", at positions 28 to 523 of the family's 1533-position model. The record is from RNAcentral.